GAAGCUUCUCAAACUGCUCCUCUGUGUAACGAACCGUCCUCUUCGUCGACAAAAUAAGCUCUGGCGAGACCAAAGCCACACGAUAUACAAUAUUCUUCACGAUCUCAACCACCGAAAUCCUCCACCGUGAUCAAAAUCUUCCUGAUCUGAUACAACAAAUCCUCGCAGGUGAAGAUGAAAGAUGGUUAAGAGAUGAUAGAUGAAAGAUGGUUAAGAGAUUUCAAUUACUUGUACGGGACAAGGCGAGUCACA
RNAcentral lists this long non-coding RNA (252 nucleotides) under Arabidopsis lyrata. RNAcentral's name for it is "long non-coding RNA (ALYR_LNC000449)". Lineage: Eukaryota; Viridiplantae; Streptophyta; Magnoliopsida; Brassicales; Brassicaceae. The record is from RNAcentral.